This 458-nucleotide long non-coding RNA is filed under the name Elaeis guineensis (African oil palm). RNAcentral describes it as "long non-coding RNA (EGUI_LNC057952)". The record is from RNAcentral. Lineage: Eukaryota; Viridiplantae; Streptophyta; Magnoliopsida; Arecales; Arecaceae.
CUGCUCACACAUGCCUGAAUUUUUUAGGUGGGCAUGCAGCGUAGAGGCCUCACCCUGUUUUAUUCAGUGCACACAUCCGGUGCUUUAGUGUUAAUCCUUUCCUUUUAUGCUGGCAUGGACCCGCAGUUUUUGGGAUAUGCUGUCGUACAGAUUGAUCUGGAGUAUGUUUAUCCAGACGCUUACAAUGGUAGAGUAUUUUACUAUUUUUUUUGCGUCUGGAUGCAACACUUGCUGUUUCUCAAGCUGCUAUCUUUCUUACGUUGGUUUAGCAUCACUAGUUGGAUGGCUGCUGUGGCAUUUCACUUCCACGGUUUCUUUUAUCUCUGGGCAAUUGCCCUAUCAUCUGAUUGAGGUGCUACGGUGCUGUGUUGACUUUUUUGGCAUAUCUUCAGGCUGUUCGGUUCUGAUUGCUUCCGUCUCCAGGGCCUAGCCUCUGCAUCCACAAUACCUAUAUGUCC